CCUGGUGACCAUGGCACCGUGGAAACACCUGAUCCCAUACCGAACUCAGAAGUUAAGCACGGUCGCGCCUAUGAUACUGCAUGGGAAACUUUGUGGGAAAGUUGGUCGUCGCCAGGC
Molecule: ribosomal RNA, 117 nt
Filed under: Exilispira sp.
Lineage: Bacteria; Pseudomonadati; Spirochaetota; Spirochaetia; Spirochaetales
Source: RNAcentral